UGGGGAAUUUUGGGCAAUGGGCGAAAGCCUGAUCCAGCAAUGCCGCGUGUGUGAAGAAGGCCUUCGGGUUGUAAAGCACUUUUGUCCGGAAAGAAAUGGCUCUGGUUAAUACCUGGGGUCGAUGACGGUACCGGAAGAAUAAGGACCGGCUAACUACGUGCCAGCAGCCGCGGUAAUACGUAGGGUCCAAGCGUUAAUCGGAAUUACUGGGCGUAAAGCGUGCGCAGGCGGUUGUGCAAGACCGAUGUGAAAUCCCCGAGCUUAACUUGGGAAUUGCAUUGGUGACUGCACGGCUAGAGUGUGUCAGAGGGGGGUAGAAUUCCACGUGUAGCAGUGAAAUGCGUAGAGAUGUGGAGGAAUACCGAUGGCGAAGGCAGCCCCCUGGGAUAACACUGACGCUCAUGCACGAAAGCGUGGGGAGCAAACAGGAUUAGAUACCCUGGUAGUCCACGCCCUAAACGAUGUCAACUAGUUGUUGGGGAUUCAUUUCCUUAGUAACGUAGCUAACGCGUGAAGUUGACCGCCUGGGGAGUACGGUCGCAAGAUU
RNAcentral lists this ribosomal RNA (547 nucleotides) under uncultured bacterium. RNAcentral describes it as "partial 16S ribosomal RNA". It matches the Rfam family "Bacterial small subunit ribosomal RNA", at positions 355 to 895 of the family's 1533-position model. The record is from RNAcentral.